AGCGAACGCUGGCGGCAGGCUUAACACAUGCAAGUCGAGCGCCCGUAGCAAUACGGGAGCGGCAGACGGGAGAGUAACACGUGGGAACGUACCCUUUGGUUCGGAACAACACAGGGAAACUUGUGCUAAUACCGGAUAAGCCCUUACGGGGAAAGAUUUAUCGCCGAAGGAUCGGCCCGCGUCUGAUUAGCUAGUUGGUGGGGUAAUGGCUCACCAAGGCGACGAUCAGUAGCUGGUCNGAGAGGAUGACCAGCCUCAUUGGGACUGAGACACGGCCCAAACUCCUACGGGAGGCAGUAGUGGGGAAUAUUGGACAAUGGGCGCAAGCCUGAUCCAGCCAUGCCGCGUGGGUGAUGAAGGCCCUAGGGUUGUAAAGCCCUUUCGGCGGGAAGAUAAUGACGGUACCCGCAGAAGAAG
Molecule: ribosomal RNA, 417 nt
Filed under: uncultured bacterium
Lineage: Bacteria
Description: bacterial SSU rRNA
Rfam family: Bacterial small subunit ribosomal RNA
Source: RNAcentral